RNAcentral lists this ribosomal RNA (372 nucleotides) under uncultured organism. RNAcentral's name for it is "partial 16S ribosomal RNA". It matches the Rfam family "Bacterial small subunit ribosomal RNA", at positions 527 to 896 of the family's 1533-position model. The record is from RNAcentral.
GUAGGUGGCAAGCGUUGUCCGGAAUUAUUGGGCGUAAAGCGCGCGCAGGCGGUUCUUUAAGUCUGAUGUGAAAGCCCACGGCUCAACCGUGGAGGGUCAUUGGAAACUGGAGAACUUGAGUACAGAAGAGGAAAGCGGAAUUCCACGUGUAGCGGUGAAAUGCGUAGAGAUGUGGAGGAACACCAGAGGCGAAGGCGGCUUUCUGGUCUGUAACUGACGCUGAGGCGCGAAAGCGUGGGGAGCAAACAGGAUUAGAUACCCUGGUAGUCCACGCCGUAAACGAUGAGUGCUAAGUGUUAGGGGGUUUCCGCCCCCCUUAGUGCUGCAGCUAACGCAUUAAGCACUCCGCCUGGGAGUACGGCCGCAAGGCUG